This 272-nucleotide ribosomal RNA is filed under the name uncultured bacterium. RNAcentral's name for it is "partial 16S ribosomal RNA". It matches the Rfam family "Bacterial small subunit ribosomal RNA", at positions 524 to 796 of the family's 1533-position model. The record is from RNAcentral.
UACAGAGGGGGCAAGCGUUGUCCGGAUUUACUGGGCGUACAGCGCGCGCAGGCGGGGCGCCAGGUGCCGUGUGACAGCCCCCUGCUCAACAGGGGGGGACAGGGUAGACCGGCGCGCUAGAGGCCGAGAGAGGGUGGUGGAAUCCCCGGUGGAGCGGUGAAAUGCGUAGAGCUCGGGGGGAACACCAGCGGCGCAGGCGGCCACCUGGCUCGGUGCUGACGCUGAGGCGCGAGAGCGUGGGGAGCGAACCGGAUUAGAAACCCCCGUAGUCC